AGUCGAGCGGUAACAUUUCUAGCUUGCUAGAAGAUGACGAGCGGCGGACGGGUGAGUAAUGCUUGGGAAUAUGCCUUAUGGUGGGGGACAACAGUUGGAAACGACUGCUAAUACCGCAUAAUGUCUACGGACCAAAGGGGGGGAUCUUCGGACCUCUCGCCAUUUGAUUAGCCCAAGUGAGAUUAGCUAGUUGGUGAGGUAAUGGCUCACCAAGGCGACGAUCUCUAGCUGGUUUGAGAGGAUGAUCAGCCACACUGGGACUGAGACACGGCCCAGACUCCUACGGGAGGCAGCAGUGGGGAAUAUUGCACAAUGGGCGCAAGCCUGAUGCAGCCAUGCCGCGUGUGUGAAGAAGGCCUUCGGGUUGUAAAGCACUUUCAGUAAGGAGGAAAGGGAUGUAGUUAAUAACUGCAUUCUGUGACGUUACUUACAGAAGAAGCACCGGCUAACUUCGUGCCAGCAGCCGCGGUAAUACGAGGGGUGCAAGCGUUAAUCGGAAUUACUGGGCGUAAAGCGUUCGUAGGCGGUUGAUUAAGCAAGAUGUGAAAGCCCAGGGCUCAACCUUGGAACUGCAUUUUGAACUGGUCAACUAGAGUACUGUAGAGGGUGGUGGAAUUUCCA
This 621-nucleotide ribosomal RNA is filed under the name uncultured bacterium. RNAcentral's name for it is "bacterial SSU rRNA". It matches the Rfam family "Bacterial small subunit ribosomal RNA", at positions 60 to 672 of the family's 1533-position model. The record is from RNAcentral.